Long non-coding RNA from Chelonia mydas (Green sea turtle), 650 nucleotides. RefSeq lists it as uncharacterized. The transcript has 3 exons. The record is from RefSeq and is a predicted model, not a curated record. Lineage: Eukaryota; Metazoa; Chordata; Testudines; Cheloniidae.
GUCUGUGUCUGUCUGUAUGCUGCUUUUGCUGGGGACAGAACAGGAAUGGAGUCUUAGAACUUCUAGAUUCAGUGUGACUCAGGUCAUUGCCCAGGGAUGUAGCACAGAAAACAUAAAACUGGAGCACUUCGAGAUUCUUCUUUUCCAUGCCAGUGCAGAUGAUAAGGACCGGAUCUCCUUGUCCUAUGGGCUUUUAAGAGAGAGGACCAGCUAAGGAAGAGAGGGAUCUGAGCUGGAAUGCUGCUCGGCCAAACCAAUGAGAGAAGAAGAUGCUCUCCCUUUGCUUUUAGCAGAGAAAGGAAAGCUGGUCUCCUCCCCACAUUCCCCUUACUUUAAUCUUUGCACAUAGACUUCCCCUUGCUGUCAUUAGCAAAGCAUAGAUGUUAAAGCAUCUGGAUGUCCACUUGCUGCCUGUUGACUGCUACAAAGAUUAUAAGCUUUCUGUUCCUGAUUCAUGCUUGAAUGCAUGCCACUGGUGAAUGAAUACUUAGGUGCACAUGCUCAGAGAGAUCUUCUUAUGCAACAAUGCCUCACAUGUCCGCAAUGGCUUCAUAGACAGCACUGUUUGCUAUCACUUUCUAAUGUCACCUUCAGCUGUAACAUUUUUAUUGUUGUUGUUUUUAAUUAAAUUGCAUCCUGAUGGAAUACAC